This 379-nucleotide ribosomal RNA is filed under the name Rhodococcus sp. PLB103. Its description in RNAcentral is "bacterial SSU rRNA". It matches the Rfam family "Bacterial small subunit ribosomal RNA", at positions 168 to 561 of the family's 1533-position model. Lineage: Bacteria; Bacillati; Actinomycetota; Actinomycetes; Mycobacteriales; Nocardiaceae. The record is from RNAcentral.
ACCGGAUAUGACCUGCUCUCGCAUGGGGGUGGGUGGAAAGAUUUAUCGGUGCAGGAUGGGCCCGCGGCCUAUCAGCUUGUUGGUGGGGUAAUGGCCUACCAAGGCGACGACGGGUAGCCGACCUGAGAGGGUGACCGGCCACACUGGGACUGAGACACGGCCCAGACUCCUACGGGAGGCAGCAGUGGGGAAUAUUGCACAAUGGGCGAAAGCCUGAUGCAGCGACGCCGCGUGAGGGAUGAAGGCCUUCGGGUUGUAAACCUCUUUCAGCAGGGACGAAGCGCAAGUGACGGUACCUGCAGAAGAAGCACCGGCUAACUACGUGCCAGCAGCCGCGGUAAUACGUAGGGUGCGAGCGUUGUCCGGAAUUACUGGGCGU